UACGUAGGGGGCAAGCGUUGUCCGGAAUCAUUGGGCGUAAAGCGCGUGUAGGCGGCCAGAUAGGUCUGCUGUGAAAACUCGAGGCUCAACCUCGAGAUGUCGGCGGAAACCAUUUGGCUAGAGUCCGGAAGAGGAAAGUGGAAUUCCUGGUGUAGCGGUGAAAUGCGCAGAUAUCAGGAAGAACACCCGUGGCGAAGGCGGCUUUCUGGGACGGUACUGACGCUGAGACGCGAAAGCGUGGGGAGCGAACAGG
This 253-nucleotide ribosomal RNA is filed under the name uncultured bacterium. Its description in RNAcentral is "partial 16S ribosomal RNA". It matches the Rfam family "Bacterial small subunit ribosomal RNA", at positions 524 to 776 of the family's 1533-position model. The record is from RNAcentral.